Molecule: ribosomal RNA, 915 nt
Filed under: uncultured archaeon
Lineage: Archaea
Description: bacterial SSU rRNA
Rfam family: Archaeal small subunit ribosomal RNA
Source: RNAcentral
UUUCCGGUUGAUCCUGCCGGACCUGGCUGCUAUCGGAUUGAUACUAAGCCAUGCGAGUCAUUGUAGCAAUACAAGGCAUACGGCUCAGUAACGCGUAGUCAACCUAACCUAUGGACGGGAAUAACCUCGGGAAACUGAGAAUAAUGCCCGAUAGAACAUUAUACCUGGAAUGGUUUAUGUUCCAAAUGAUUUAUCGCCGUAGGAUGGGACUGCGGCCUAUCAGUUUGUUGGUGAGGUAAUGGCCCACCAAGACUAUUACAGGUACGGGCUCUGAGAGGAGUAGCCCGGAGAUGGGUACUGAGACACGGACCCAGGCCCUAUGGGGCGCAGCAGGCGAGAAAACUUUGCAAUGUGCGAAAGCACGACAAGGUUAAUCCGAGUGAUUUCUGCUAAAGAAAUCUUUUGUUAGUCCUAGAAACACUAACGAAUAAGGGGUGGGCAAGUUCUGGUGUCAGCCGCCGCGGUAAAACCAGCACCUCAAGUGGUCAGGAUGAUUAUUGGGCCUAAAGCAUCCGUAGCCGGCUCUGUAAGUUUUCGGUUAAAUCUGUACGCUUAACGUACAGGCCGCCGGGAAUACUGCAAAGCUAGGGAGUGGGAGAAGUAGACGGUACUCGGUAGGAAGUGGUAAAAUGCUUUGAUCUAUCGAUGACCACCUGUGGCGAAGGCGGUCUACUAGAACACGUCCGACGGUGAGGGAUGAAAGCUGGGGGAGCAAACCGGAUUAGAUACCCGGGUAGUCCCAGCUGUAAACUAUGCAAACUCAGUGAUGCAUUGGCUUGUGGCCAAUGCAGUGCUGCAGGGAAGCCGUUAAGUUUGCCGCCUGGGAAGUACGUACGCAAGUAUGAAACUUAAAGGAAUUGGCGGGGGAGCACCACAAGGGGUGAAGCCUGCGGUUCAAUUGGAGUCAACGCCGGG